This is a long non-coding RNA of Cololabis saira (Pacific saury), 381 nucleotides long. RefSeq lists it as uncharacterized. The transcript is spliced from 3 exons. The record is from RefSeq and is a predicted model, not a curated record. NCBI's taxonomy places the organism in Eukaryota, Metazoa, Chordata, Actinopteri, Beloniformes, Belonidae.
GUCAACUUCAGAACUGGAGAGUUUCCAGAACUGCAUCUUGAUGUAUGCUGGAAAAAGGUUUGCCUUCUCUCCUCCGGUUUAUGAAGCAAGGUGUCUUCUCGCUGCUUUAGAUUACAACCACCACAAUCACCGACCAGAUUACAUUGACCGGAAUAAUGAGUUAUCAUUUAGGAGACUCUACAGCAAGAAGUCACGCAAUUACCGUGUCCAAGCGGUAAAGGUAGCAAAAGACUACAGCUACAUCCCUGAGCUGCAGUGUUGCAUCCUGAGGAAACGUAUGGAUGGAGGGGGGCUCCCAAGGAGAGCCAAACUGUCACAGGAUGACCCAAGGCGCCUUGGAAAUCUUGCGGGAGUUGUCCCCCCCCCAACAGCAGAACUGGU